This 550-nucleotide ribosomal RNA is filed under the name uncultured bacterium. RNAcentral describes it as "partial 16S ribosomal RNA". It matches the Rfam family "Bacterial small subunit ribosomal RNA", at positions 355 to 920 of the family's 1533-position model. The record is from RNAcentral.
UGGGGAAUAUUGGACAAUGGGGGCAACCCUGAUCCAGCCAUGCCGCGUGAGUGAUGAAGGCCUUCGGGUUGUAAAGCUCUUUCGCACGCGACGAUGAUGACGGUAGCGUGAGAAGAAGCCCCGGCUAACUUCGUGCCAGCAGCCGCGGUAAUACGAAGGGGGCUAGCGUUGUUCGGAAUUACUGGGCGUAAAGGGCGCGUAGGCGGCGCUUCAAGUCAGAUGUGAAAGCCCCGGGCUCAACCUGGGAACAGCAUUUGAGACUGGAGUGCUUGAGUUCCGGAGAGGUGGGUGGAAUUCCCAGUGUAGAGGUGAAAUUCGUAGAUAUUGGGAAGAACACCGGUGGCGAAGGCGGCCCACUGGACGGAUACUGACGCUGAGGCGCGAAAGCGUGGGGAGCAAAACAGGAUUAGAUACCCUGGUAGUCCACGCCGUAAAACGAUGUCGGCUAGACGUUGGGGCUCUUAGAGCUUCGGUGUCGCAGCUAACGCAUUAAGCCGACCGCCUGGGGAGUACGGCCGCAAGGUUGAAACUUAAAUGAAUUGACGGGGUC